GACGAACGCUGGCGGCGUGCUUAACACAUGCAAGUCGAACGGAAAGGCCCUGCUUUUGUGGGGUGCUCGAGUGGCGAACGGGUGAGUAACACGUGAGUAACCUGCCCUUGACUUUGGGAUAACUUCAGGAAACUGGGGCUAAUACCGGAUAGGAGCUCCUGCUGCAUGGUGGGGGUUGGAAAGUUUCGGCGGUUGGGGAUGGACUCGCGGCUUAUCAGCUUGUUGGUGGGGUAGUGGCUUACCAAGGCUUUGACGGGUAGCCGGCCUGAGAGGGUGACCGGCCACAUUGAGCCUGAGAUACGGCCCAGACUCCGACGGGAGGCAGCAGUGGGGAAUAUUGCACAAUGGGCGGAAGCCUGAUGCAGCAACGCCGCGUGCGGGAUGACGGCCUUCGGGUUGUAAACCGCUUUCGCCUGUGACGAAGCGUGAGUGACGGUAAUGGGUAAAGAAGCACCGGCUAACUACGUG
RNAcentral lists this ribosomal RNA (468 nucleotides) under uncultured bacterium. RNAcentral describes it as "partial 16S ribosomal RNA". It matches the Rfam family "Bacterial small subunit ribosomal RNA", at positions 28 to 507 of the family's 1533-position model. The record is from RNAcentral.